This 270-nucleotide ribosomal RNA is filed under the name uncultured Sphingobacteriales bacterium. RNAcentral's name for it is "partial 16S ribosomal RNA". It matches the Rfam family "Bacterial small subunit ribosomal RNA", at positions 1114 to 1382 of the family's 1533-position model. Lineage: Bacteria; Pseudomonadati; Bacteroidota; Sphingobacteriia; Sphingobacteriales. The record is from RNAcentral.
GUUGCCAUCAGGUAAUGCUAGGGACUCUAAAGGAACUGCCUACGCAAGUAGUGAGGAAGGCGGGGAGUGACGUCAAAUCAGCACGGCCCUUACGUCCAGGGCUACACACGUGCUACAAUGGCCGAUACAGAGGGCAGCUACCUGGUGACAGGAUGCAAAUCUCCAAAGUCGGUCUCAGUUCGGAUCGGAGUCUGCAACCCGACUCCGUGAAGUUGGAUUCGCUAGUAAUCGCGCAUCAGCCAUGGCGCGGUGAAUACGUUCCCGGGCCUU